Molecule: long non-coding RNA, 702 nt
Organism: Mauremys reevesii (Reeves's turtle)
Lineage: Eukaryota; Metazoa; Chordata; Testudines; Geoemydidae
Exons: 3
Source: RefSeq, a predicted model, not a curated record
GAGGAAAGGAAUGCAGGAACCAUAUAGGACUCUGCAAUAGCCACAAACAGGCAGAAAGUGGUACUAUUUGUCAAAAACUCCAUUGGAAAAAGCACUGAAAGGAGUUGCUCUGUUAAAGGGGCCUGGAGGCAGAUGAAGACAAACCAUGUGAAAGUUCUCCAAAAGAGCUUGGAUUUAUCUCCUCAAGAGUGACUCUGAAGUUUUAUGUGAAGAAUUGGAGCGGAGAAGAUUUUCAAAACAGCGGCACAGAAGGUUGAGUUUGUGACCCCAUCUAAACAGCCAACACUGAGCUUUGGUUUUUGAGAUGAGCAUCACUGUUGCAUUCUGGAAUAUCUUGAGUGAGCUAGGAAGAACCAAGGAAGGAUUUUAAUGAAGAAGGAAAUUUUUCAAAAGUUUAAUUAAAACAUAAUUCUACAAUGAAUAACUCCUCACAGACUAUUUUGAAUAGGCAUUUUGAGUUUAACUUGAUGUUCAUUUUUGCUUUACAAUUAAUCUUUAAGGCUAGAAUUUUACAAUACUUAUCCAAGUAUAACAGAAGAAGGUUAAACUAACAUAUCCAAUCCUACUUGUUGAAAAUUAAAACAAUAUAAAACUGCACUAUACAGGCUGUACUGUAAUACCUAGUCAAAUUUCUUUGUGUUAAUCAUCUGUUUUCUUUAAACAUUUCUUGUGCUUAUAACAGUAAAAUCUCCUGCAAUGGUA